RNAcentral lists this ribosomal RNA (520 nucleotides) under Candidatus Yanofskybacteria bacterium RIFCSPHIGHO2_12_FULL_41_9. Its description in RNAcentral is "bacterial LSU rRNA". It matches the Rfam family "Bacterial large subunit ribosomal RNA", at positions 1 to 473 of the family's 2925-position model. The record is from RNAcentral. Lineage: Bacteria; Candidatus Yanofskyibacteriota.
AUUAAAUUAAGGGCGUAUGGAGGAUGCCUUGGCACAUAAAGGCGAUGAAGGUCGUGGCGUGCCUGCGAUAAGCUUCGGGGAGCCGGCUAGCGGGCUUUGAUCCGGAGAUUGCCGAAUGGGGAAACCCAAUCAAGUAAACCUUGAUUACUCGGUCGUGUAACAACGAUCGGGAGUAUACCUGGCGAAGUGAAACAUCUCAGUAGCCAGAGGAAAAGAAACCGAAAGGAUUCCGUGUGUAGCGGCGAGCGAAAGCGGAAUAGCCUAAACUUGCGUUUCACGAAAGUGGAGCAUGAGGGUUAUAAGGGCAGAACACUGAAAACUUGAGGAAACGAAUUCGUUCCUGAAGUUUUCUAAAGAGUUACAAAUUGGAUUGUUAGCAGAACGGCCCUGGAACGGCCGACCAAAGGAGGUGAUAGUCCUGUAUGCGAAAACAAAUCCAACUCUUGUUUUGUUUCUUGAGUAGCUCGGGAUAAGAAUGUCCUGAGUGAAUUUGCCCAUACUACUGGGUAAGGCUAAAUAC